UGAACAUGAGGGACCGGAUGCU
RNAcentral lists this non-coding RNA (22 nucleotides) under Arabidopsis thaliana (thale cress). Lineage: Eukaryota; Viridiplantae; Streptophyta; Magnoliopsida; Brassicales; Brassicaceae. The record is from RNAcentral.